This 3010-nucleotide ribosomal RNA is filed under the name Salmonella enterica subsp. enterica serovar Saintpaul. Its description in RNAcentral is "23S ribosomal RNA". It matches the Rfam family "Bacterial large subunit ribosomal RNA". The record is from RNAcentral. Lineage: Bacteria; Pseudomonadati; Pseudomonadota; Gammaproteobacteria; Enterobacterales; Enterobacteriaceae.
GGGUUGUGAGGUUAAGCGACUAAGCGUACACGGUGGAUGCCCUGGCAGUCAGAGGCGAUGAAGGGCGUGCUAAUCUGCGAUAAGCGCCGGUAAGGUGAUAUGAACCGUUAUAACCGGCGAUACCCGAAUGGGGAAACCCAGUGUGACUCGUCACACUAUCAUUAACUGAAUCCAUAGGUUAAUGAGGCGAACCGGGGGAACUGAAACAUCUAAGUACCCCGAGGAAAAGAAAUCAACCGAGAUUCCCCCAGUAGCGGCGAGCGAACGGGGAGGAGCCCAGAGCCUGAAUCAGCAUGUGUGUUAGUGGAAGCGUCUGGAAAGGCGCGCGAUACAGGGUGACAGCCCCGUACACAAAAGCGCAUGUGCUGUGAGCUCGAUGAGUAGGGCGGGACACGUGGUAUCCUGUCUGAAUAUGGGGGGACCAUCCUCCAAGGCUAAAUACUCCUGACUGACCGAUAGUGAACCAGUACCGUGAGGGAAAGGCGAAAAGAACCCCGGCGAGGGGAGUGAAAAAGAACCUGAAACCGUGUACGUACAAGCAGUGGGAGCACAGGUUUACCUGUGUGACUGCGUACCUUUUGUAUAAUGGGUCAGCGACUUAUAUUCUGUAGCAAGGUUAACCGUAUAGGGGAGCCGUAGGGAAACCGAGUCUUAACCGGGCGUUAAGUUGCAGGGUAUAGACCAGCAACCCGGGGAUCUAGCCAUGGGCAGGUGGAAGGUUGGGUAACACUAACUGGAGGACCGAACCGACUAAUGUUGAAAAAUUAGCGGAUGACCUGUGGCUGGGGGUGAAAGGCCAAUCAAACCGGGAGAUAGCUGGUUCUCCCCGAAAGCUAUUUAGGUAGCGCCUCGUGAAUUCAUCUCCGGGGGUAGAGCACUGUUUCGGCUAGGGGGCCAUCCCGGCUUACCAACCCGAUGCAAACUGCGAAUACCGGAGAAUGUUAUCACGGGAGACACACGGCGGGUGCUAACGUCCGUCGUGAAGAGGGAAACAACCCAGACCGCCAGCUAAGGUCCCAAAGUCAUGGUUAAGUGGGAAACGAUGUGGGAAGGCCCAGACAGCCAGGAUGUUGGCUUAGAAGCAGCCAUCAUUUAAAGAAAGCGUAAUAGCUCACUGGUCGAGUCGGCCUGCGCGGAAGAUGUAACGGGGCUAAACCAUGCACCGAAGCUGCGGCAGCGAACGUAUCACUUAAAGCGAUUCAGCGGGUUACGAUUGACGGAGCGAAGCGACGUCAAAGCGUAUACAAAGUCGAGUCGGUUUAAGGAUACGUUCGUUGGGUAGGGGAGCGUUCUGUAAGCCCGUGAAGGUGGCCUGUGAGGGUUGCUGGAGGUAUCAGAAGUGCGAAUGCUGACAUAAGUAACGAUAAAGCGGGUGAAAAGCCCGCUCGCCGGAAGACCAAGGGUUCCUGUCCAACGUUAAUCGGGGCAGGGUGAGUCGACCCCUAAGGCGAGGCCGAAAGGCGUAGUCGAUGGGAAACGGGUUAAUAUUCCCGUACUUGGUGUUACUGCGAAGGGGGGACGGAGAAGGCUAUGUUGGCCGGGCGACGGUUGUCCCGGUUUAAGCGUGUAGGUGUGUGUUCCAGGUAAAUCCGGUUCACUUUAACACUGAGGCGUGACGACGAGGCACUACGGUGCUGAAGCAACAAAUGCCCUGCUUCCAGGAAAAGCCUCUAAGCAUCAGGUAACAUCAAAUCGUACCCCAAACCGACACAGGUGGUCAGGUAGAGAAUACCAAGGCGCUUGAGAGAACUCGGGUGAAGGAACUAGGCAAAAUGGUGCCGUAACUUCGGGAGAAGGCACGCUGACACGUAGGUGAAGUGAUUUACUCAUGGAGCUGAAGUCAGUCGAAGAUACCAGCUGGCUGCAACUGUUUAUUAAAAACACAGCACUGUGCAAACACGAAAGUGGACGUAUACGGUGUGACGCCUGCCCGGUGCCGGAAGGUUAAUUGAUGGGGUCAGCGUAAGCGAAGCUCCUGAUCGAAGCCCCGGUAAACGGCGGCCGUAACUAUAACGGUCCUAAGGUAGCGAAAUUCCUUGUCGGGUAAGUUCCGACCUGCACGAAUGGCGUAAUGAUGGCCAGGCUGUCUCCACCCGAGACUCAGUGAAAUUGAACUCGCUGUGAAGAUGCAGUGUACCCGCGGCAAGACGGAAAGACCCCGUGAACCUUGACUAUAGCUUGACACUGAAGAGUGAGCCUUGAUGUGUAGGAUAGGUGGGAGGGUUUGAAGUGUGGACGCCAGUCUGCAUGGAGCCGCCCUUGACAUACCACCCUUUAAUGUUUGAUGUUCUAACGUGGACCCGUAAUCCGGGUUGCGGACAGUGUCUGGUGGGUAGUUUGACUGGGGCGGUCUCCUCCUAAAGAGUAACGGAGGAGCACGAAGGUUGGCUAAUCCUGGUUGGAUAUCAGGAGGUUAGUGCAAUAACAUAAGCCAGCUUGAGUUCGAGCGUGGCAUCGCGAGCAGGUGCGAAAGCAGGUCAUAGUGAUCCUGUGGUUCUGAACGGAAGGGCCAUCGCUCAACAGAUAAAAGGUACUCUGAGGAUAACAGGCUGAUACCGCCCAAGAGUUCAUAUCGACGGCGGUGUUUGGCACCUCGAUGUCGGCUCAUCACAUCCUGGGGCUGAAGUAGGUCCCAAGGGUAUGGCUGUUCGCCAUUUAAAGUGGUACGCGAGCUGGGUUUAGAACGUCGUGAGACAGUUCGGUCCCUAUCUGCCGUGGGCGCUGGAGAACUGAGGGGGGCUGCUCCUAGUACGAGAGGACCGGAGUGGACGCAUCACUGGUGUUCGGGUUGUCAUGCCAAUGGCACUGCCCGGUAGCUAAAUGCGGAAGAGAUAAGUGCUGAAAGCAUCUAAGCACGAAACUUGCCCCGAGAUGAGUUCUCCCUGAGACUUAGAGUCUCCUGAAGGAACGUUGAAGACGACGACGUUGAUAGGCCGGGUGUGUAAGCGCAGCGAUGCGUUGAGCUAACCGGUACUAAUGAACCGUGAGGCUUAACCUUACAACGCCGAAG